RNAcentral lists this ribosomal RNA (506 nucleotides) under uncultured bacterium. Its description in RNAcentral is "partial 16S ribosomal RNA". It matches the Rfam family "Bacterial small subunit ribosomal RNA", at positions 29 to 523 of the family's 1533-position model. The record is from RNAcentral.
AGUGAACGCUGGCGGUAGGCCUAACACAUGCAAGUCGAACGGCAGCACAGAGGAGCUUGCUCCUUGGGUGGCGAGUGGCGGACGGGUGAGGAAUACAUCGGAAUCUACUCUGUCGUGGGGGAUAACGUAGGGAAACUUACGCUAAUACCGCAUACGACCUACGGGUGAAAGCAGGGGACCUUCGGGCCUUGCGCGAUUGAAUGAGCCGAUGUCGGAUUAGCUAGUUGGCGGGGUAAAGGCCCACCAAGGCGACGAUCCGUAGCUGGUCUGAGAGGAGGAUCAGCCACACUGGAACUGGGACACGGUCCAGACUCCUACGGGAGGCAGCAGUGGGGAAUAUUGGACAAUGGGCGCAAGCCUGAUCCAUCCAUACCGCGUGGGUGAAGAAGGCCUUCGGGUUGUAAAGCCCUUUUGUUGGGAAAGAAAUCCAGCUGGCUAAUACCCGGUUGGGAUGACGGUACCCAAAGAAUAAGCACCGGCUAACUUCGUGCCAGCAGCCGCCGCCG